GACGAACGCUGGCGGCGUGCUUAACACAUGCAAGUUGAACGGAAAGGCCCUGCUUUUGUGGGGUGCUCGAGUGGCGAACGGGUGAGUAACACGUGAGUAACCUGCCCUUGACUUUGGGAUAACUUCAGGAAACUGGGGCUAAUACCGGAUAGGAGCUCCUGCCGCAUGGUGGGGGUUGGAAAGUUUCGGCGGUUGGGGAUGGACUCGCGGCUUAUCAGCUUGUUGGUGGGGUAGUGGCUUACCAAGGCUUUGACGGGUAGCCGGCCUGAGAGGGUGACCGGCCACAUUGGGACUGAGAUACGGCCCAGACUCCUACGGGAGGCAGCAGUGGGGAAUAUUGCACAAUGGGCGGAAGCCUGAUGCAGCAACGCCGCGUGCGGGAUGACGGCCUUCGGGUUGUAAACCGCUUUCGCCUGUGACGAAGCGUGAGUGACGGUAAUGGGUAAAGAAGCACCGGCUAACUACGUG
RNAcentral lists this ribosomal RNA (468 nucleotides) under uncultured bacterium. RNAcentral's name for it is "partial 16S ribosomal RNA". It matches the Rfam family "Bacterial small subunit ribosomal RNA", at positions 28 to 507 of the family's 1533-position model. The record is from RNAcentral.